AACGAACGUUGGCGGCGUGGAUUAGGCAUGCAAGUCGAAUGAAUCCCAUCUGGGUAACUGGGUGGGGGAAAUGGCGAAAGGGGCAGUAAGGCAUGGGCAACCUACCCCGGGGACGGGGAUAGCUAUUCUAACGAGUAGGUAAUACCUGGCGAUUCGGCGAAGAGGCAUCUCUUUGCCGGGAAACGAGUUUCGCCUCGGGAGGGGCUCAUGUAGUAUUAGCUUGUUGGUGAGGUAACGGCUCACCAAGGCAAGAUGCUUAGCGGGUGUGAGAGCACGACCCGCGCCACUGGCACUGAGACACUGGCCAGACUCCUACGGGAGGCUGCAGUCGAGGAUCUUCGGCAAUGGGCGCAAGCCUGACCGAGCGACGCCGCGUGUG
This 379-nucleotide ribosomal RNA is filed under the name uncultured bacterium. RNAcentral's name for it is "bacterial SSU rRNA". It matches the Rfam family "Bacterial small subunit ribosomal RNA", at positions 29 to 405 of the family's 1533-position model. The record is from RNAcentral.